This 851-nucleotide ribosomal RNA is filed under the name uncultured bacterium. RNAcentral's name for it is "bacterial SSU rRNA". It matches the Rfam family "Bacterial small subunit ribosomal RNA", at positions 50 to 901 of the family's 1533-position model. The record is from RNAcentral.
CUUUCCUGCAGUCGACGGCAGCGCGGGGCAACCUGGCGGCGAGUGGCGAACGGGUGAGUAAUAUAUCGGAACGUACCCAGAAGUGGGGGAUAACGUAGCGAAAGUUACGCUAAUACCGCAUACGAUCUACGGAUGAAAGUGGGGGACCUUCGGGCCUCAUGCUUUUGGAGCGGCCGAUAUCUGAUUAGCUAGUUGGUGAGGUAAAGGCUCACCAAGGCGACGAUCAGUAGCUGGUCUGAGAGGACGACCAGCCACACUGGAACUGAGACACGGUCCAGACUCCUACGGGAGGCAGCAGUGGGGAAUUUUGGACAAUGGGCGCAAGCCUGAUCCAGCAAUGCCGCGUGAGUGAAGAAGGCCUUCGGGUUGUAAAGCUCUUUUGUCAGGGAAGAAACGGCUGAGGAUAAUACCUUCGGCUAAUGACGGUACCUGAAGAAUAAGCACCGGCUAACUACGUGCCAGCAGCCGCGGUAAUACGUAGGGUGCAAGCGUUAAUCGGAACUACUGGGCGUAAAGCGUGCGCAGGCGGUUUUGUAAGUCUGACGUGAAAUCCCCGGGCUCAACCUGGGAAUUGCGUUGGAGACUGCAAGGCUGGAGUCUGGCAGAGGGGGGUAGAAUUCCACGUGUAGCAGUGAAAUGCGUAGAGAUGUGGAGGAACACCGAUGGCGAAGGCAGCCCCCUGGGUCAAGACUGACGCUCAUGCACGAAAGCGUGGGGAGCAAACAGGAUUAGAUACCCUGGUAGUCCACGCCCUAAACGAUGUCUACUAGUUGUCGGGUCUUAAUUGACUUGGUAACGCAGCUAACGCGUGAAGUAGACCGCCUGGGGAGUACGGUCGCAAGAUUAAAACU